Molecule: long non-coding RNA, 430 nt
Filed under: Equus caballus (horse)
Lineage: Eukaryota; Metazoa; Chordata; Mammalia; Perissodactyla; Equidae
Description: lncRNA (ENSECAG00000052969.1)
Source: RNAcentral
UAAUUUUAAUGCAGAGCUCUUUUCUUCCCAAUGCAGAAGUCUUAUUAAAGAAACAGCAGGAUGCUGACAGGAAACUGUUUGGCGAAUAAACGUGAUGUGUCUAUAACUCCAGAGCGCCCUGAGGAUUGCCGACUCAUUUGAUGAUGUUCAUCUCUCUGACAACCAAGAACUUUGGAAGAAUCUCUCUCCUCAGGCACUUCCAUUUUUGUGUCCAGAUUGGCAGCCUUCCAAACUCGCCAGAGGCCUUGCAGAAUGAAACUCUCUGUGGAGCGUUAGAAGACAAAUUGGACAUAAGUCCAUUGGACAUCUGGGAGAAAGAAGAAAGGUCAAGGAUGCUCCAGCUUGGUCAGCCUCUCAGGCCUGGCAGCAGAAGCUGAGACUCCUUCCUGCAUAACUUGGGCUUGAAUUAAAGGCAUUUUUUAGUCUGGAA